Molecule: ribosomal RNA, 425 nt
Filed under: uncultured bacterium
Lineage: Bacteria
Description: partial 16S ribosomal RNA
Rfam family: Bacterial small subunit ribosomal RNA
Source: RNAcentral
GUGGGGAAUCUUAGACAAUGGGCGCAAGCCUGAUCUAGCCAUGCCGCGUGAGCGAUGAAGGCCUUAGGGUUGUAAAGCUCUUUCGUGGGGGAAGAUAAUGACUGUACCCCAAGAAGAAGCCCCGGCUAACUCCGUGCCAGCAGCCGCGGUAAUACGGAGGGGGCUAGCGUUGUUCGGAAUUACUGGGCGUAAAGCGCACGUAGGCGGACUGGAAAGUCAGGGGUGAAAUCCCGGGGCUCAACCCCGGAACUGCCUUUGAGACUCCCAGUCUUGAGUUCGAGAGAGGUGAGUGGAAUUCCGAGUGUAGAGGUGAAAUUCGUAGAUAUUCGGAGGAACACCAGUGGCGAAGGCGGCUCACUGGCUCGAUACUGACGCUGAGGUGCGAAAGCGUGGGGAGCAAACAGGAUUAGAAACCCCGGUAGUCC